RNAcentral lists this ribosomal RNA (429 nucleotides) under Bacteroidota bacterium. RNAcentral describes it as "Bacteroidetes bacterium partial 16S ribosomal RNA". It matches the Rfam family "Bacterial small subunit ribosomal RNA", at positions 355 to 776 of the family's 1533-position model. The record is from RNAcentral. Lineage: Bacteria; Pseudomonadati; Bacteroidota.
UAGGGAAUCUUCCGCAAUGGACGCAAGUCUGACGGAGCAACGCCGCGUGAGUGAAGAAGGAUUUCGGUUCGUAAAACUCUGUUGUUAGAGAAGAACAGCGCAUAGAGUAACUGUUAUGCGUGUGACGGUAUCUAACCAGAAAGCCCCGGCUAACUAUGUGCCAGCAGCCGCGGUAAAACAUAGGGGGCAAGCGUUGUCCGGAAUCACUGGGCGUAAAGGGCGCGCAGGCGGUCUGUUAAGUCAGAUGUGAAAGGUUAGGGCUCAACCCUGAACGUGCAUCUGAUACUGGCAGACUUGAGUAUGGAAGAGGUAAGUGGAAUUCCUAGUGUAGCGGUGAAAUGCGUAGAUAUUAGGAGGAACACCAGUGGCGAAGGCGACUUACUGGGCCAUAACUGACGCUGAGGCGCGAAAGCGUGGGGAGCAAACAGG